RNAcentral lists this ribosomal RNA (253 nucleotides) under uncultured bacterium. RNAcentral describes it as "partial 16S ribosomal RNA". It matches the Rfam family "Bacterial small subunit ribosomal RNA", at positions 524 to 776 of the family's 1533-position model. The record is from RNAcentral.
UACGAAGGUCCCAAGCGUUAUCCGGAUUUAUUGGGUUUAAAGGGUGCGUAGGCGGAUUAUUAAGUCAGUGGUGAAAGCUCUCAGCCUAACUGAGAAAUUGCCAUUGAUACUGAUGAUCUUGAGUACAUUUGAAGUGGGCGGAAUGUGUCAUGUAGCGGUGAAAUGCUUAGAUAUGACACAGAACACCGAUUGCGUAGGCAGCUCACUUAACUGUAACUGACGCUGAGGCACGAAAGCGUGGGGAGCAAACAGG